RNAcentral lists this ribosomal RNA (429 nucleotides) under Argopecten irradians (bay scallop). Its description in RNAcentral is "partial 16S ribosomal RNA". It matches the Rfam family "Bacterial large subunit ribosomal RNA", at positions 1962 to 2606 of the family's 2925-position model. Lineage: Eukaryota; Metazoa; Mollusca; Bivalvia; Pectinida; Pectinidae. The record is from RNAcentral.
UAAGUUAUGGCCUAGUUAAUUGUAGGCCCUGUGAAUGGUUUGACGAGUUUUCUUCUGUCUCUAGCUUGUUUAAGUGAACUUGAAUUGGAUGUGCAAAUGCUUCCUUGGUAAAGAAAGACGAGAAGACCCCGUGAAGUUAGAAAUUAAUGUGCAGAAUAGUGGGAGGCUACUUUUUCUGCCUUAUGGUUUUGGCUGGGGCAGCAAGGGGGCAAAAGUAGACCCCUUAAAAUUUAAUUCUGGUGAGUAAUGACCCAUAAGGUUUAAGGGUAUGAUUAGUAGAAGAAGUUACUCCGGGGAUAACAGCGUAAUCCGCCUUGACAGUCCUUAUAGAUGGGUGGGUUUGCGACCUCGAUGUUGGCUCUGGAUGUCCUGAAGCUGUAGGCGGUUUCAAGGGUUGGUUCGUUCGCCCAUUAAAAUCCAACGUGAUCU